UUUUUCCCCAUGGACAGACAGAGGUGCUUUUGAGUUUAGAAACAGAGGAAUCUUCUUUUAAUAAAUUUGAACUGGGAAGCUAAAGUAAGCAUGAUUCCUGACAAAGUGAUCAGUAUGGAAACAUCUAUGUACAGAAACUUUUGAGUGUGUGCAAUGCACUGGUUUGAGACAAACAUUUGGACCUCUCUAUGGUGAUCUGACCGUACAUUCACUUGUUGCAGUCCAGAGUGAUAUUCUUGUAAUGGUUAAUCAGUGCAGAUGGUAAAAGCCGCAGGAAAUUAACAAGAGCCUUAAUCAAUAAUGUUCACUGUAUAUAAAGUGAGGGAACAAAAUUUGUCUGGAAGAUGAGACAGAAGUAGCACCUUCUAAUUUCUAAAAGUAACAAAAGUAAUAGCUGAAGACAUUAAUGUUGGAGCAUGCUACUGCCAGUAGGGUCACCGAAAUCUCAGCCUCUCUUUCUGAAAUUCGGUAUCAAAACAAACAUGAGACCAGUUCUGAUGUGAGCUGUUAAACUUUAAUGCCAAGAGUGCAAUACAUUAUAUUUUGCUGUAAACACAGUGUAAGCAAAGCUGUAUUCUUAAAGCUUUGUUGACUGUACUAGUUGUUUUGGGGCUUUGUCUGUUAAAAAUCCAUCACAAAACUGCAGUCAAAAACUGUAAGGUAAUCUUCAAGACCAUUAAAUACUUUUUUCCCCCCUAAUGUAUUUAAUAAAUGCACAUCUGGGUACAAAAAAUGCACAUCUGGGUACAAAAAUAUACCAAAUUUAUUUCAUCUGUGAUUUUCUCAAAGAGAAACUGAUAAAUAAGACUUUCACAUUUUUGUUGUGUUUUAUUUCUGCCGCACCAGGGGCUCAAAAAAUUAAUGUGUCAGUAAAGGAUUUGACAUUGUGUUACGACAGUCAUCAAUCCAGCGAGCCCUGUAGCCAUAAAUAAGCUUCAUACAGUGCCACACUAAAGAGGACAGUUUUUCUUCUGCAGGACAUUGAAAAUGUCACGGCAAGGGAAUUGUUUGUCCCUGUCGCCACGACAACGCCACCAGCACUUGUCAUUAACUUUCGCACCAAGAUUUUAAUCAGUGGUCUUUGUGGCAUAAGAGCGAGUCCACAUCAGCCCAAAUUUUCGAAGCCGUUAUUCUAAUUAUGACAAGAAGCUAUAGAUUGAUGAGCUUAGUUUUCUACAAGGACUGGUGGCAGUUAAUUCCUGUGACCUGUGUGCCUCCAGUAGUCUCUUUUCGAGAUGGAGUCUUGAAAGUUCGAUUAUUAGUGACAGGUUGUAAGUGAGAAGAAGCUUAUCUCUCCAGAGAGUGUUGAUAACUUGAGACAAGGUUUAACUAGGAAGUAGUGAGACAGUAGAUGGCAAAAAAAAAAAAAAAAAA
RNAcentral lists this long non-coding RNA (1374 nucleotides) under Strigops habroptila (Kakapo). Its description in RNAcentral is "lncRNA (ENSSHBG00005020810.1)". Lineage: Eukaryota; Metazoa; Chordata; Aves; Psittaciformes; Psittacidae. The record is from RNAcentral.